RNAcentral lists this ribosomal RNA (313 nucleotides) under uncultured Spirotrichea. Its description in RNAcentral is "SSU rRNA". It matches the Rfam family "Eukaryotic small subunit ribosomal RNA", at positions 155 to 469 of the family's 1831-position model. Lineage: Eukaryota; Ciliophora; Spirotrichea. The record is from RNAcentral.
AUUCUAGAGCUAAUACAUGCUGUAAAGCCCGACUUCACGGAAGGGCCGUAUUUAUUAGAUAACAGACCAAUAUUCCUCGUGUCUAUUGUGGUGAAUCAUAGUAACUAAUCGGAUCGCAUGGGCUAGUCCCGCGACAAACCAUUCAAGUUUCUGCCCCAUCAGCUUUCGAUGGUAGUGUAUUGGACUACCACGGCUUUUACGGGUAACGGAGGAUUAGGGUUCGAUUCCGGAGAGGGAGCCUGAGAAACGGCUACCACAUCUAAGGAAGGCAGCAGGCGCGUAAAUUACCCAAUCCUAAUUCAGGGAGGUAGUG